RNAcentral lists this ribosomal RNA (492 nucleotides) under uncultured bacterium. Its description in RNAcentral is "partial 16S ribosomal RNA". It matches the Rfam family "Bacterial small subunit ribosomal RNA", at positions 29 to 507 of the family's 1533-position model. The record is from RNAcentral.
AGUGAACGCUGGCGGUAGGCCUAACACAUGCAAGUCGAACGGCAGCACAGUAAGAGCUUGCUCUUACGGGUGGCGAGUGGCGGACGGGUGCGGAAUACAUCGGAAUCUACUUUUUCGUGGGGGAUAACGUAGGGAAACAUACGCUAAUACCGCAUACGACCUACGGGUGAAAGCAGGGGAUCUUCGGACCUUGCGCGAUUGAAUGAGCCGAUGUCGGAUUAGCUAGUUGGCGGGGUAAAGGCCCACCAAGGCGACGAUCCGUAGCUGGUCUGAGAGGAUGAUCAGCCACACUGGAACUGAGACACGGUCCAGACUCCUACGGGAGGCAGCAGUGGGGAAUAUUGGACAAUGGGCGCAAGCCUGAUCCAGCCAUACCGCGUGGGUGAAGAAGGCCUUCGGGUUGUAAAGCCCUUUUGUUGGGAAAGAAAAGCAGCAGGUUAAUACCCCGCUGUUCUGACGGUACCCAAAGAAUAAGCACCGGCUAACUUCGUG